Long non-coding RNA from Pimephales promelas (fathead minnow), 1221 nucleotides. RefSeq lists it as uncharacterized. Lineage: Eukaryota; Metazoa; Chordata; Actinopteri; Cypriniformes; Leuciscidae. The record is from RefSeq and is a predicted model, not a curated record.
AGCUCACACUGAAGCUCACCGUUAUCUUAUCAUCAUGAAGGACUGAAGAAAUGUGAGCGUUCCAUUGGAUCUUAGCUGAGAAGUCUAUCAAAGACUCUGCAGCUCGGACCACAGUUCCCACAGAGGACCUGGCAAUGGUCGAGGCCCCCUUCAAACCUCUGGAGUCGGCUGAGGCCAAGAACCUUUCCCUCAAGAGUUUGAUGUCCAGAUUCAGAGGUGUUCUCGAUGGCGGACGUCAGACCAGUUGCUGGUGUGUUUCGGGUCGCCCAGUUCCCGCAUCCGAACAGACCAUCAUCACCUGGAUCUCUAUGGCCUAUCAGGUGCAGCUUCACAUUUGGCCACCAGGGCUCAUUCAACCUGUGGCAUGGCGUCAUAAACUGAACACAAUAGGGCCCAAUACUGAGCCUUGAGGAACUCUAAAACUGUAUAACAAUAACACCGAAACAUAAACCUUUGCUUCCUGUUUGAUAAAUAUGAAAUCAUACUGUAACACACGUAUGUCUCAUACAUUUAAUGGCAUCAAUAUAAAGAUUAAAAACUUUGAUUGGAGCACCCUGUUUCAAACACCUUCUUUCAGAAAACGCUCCUAUUCUAAAAACCUAUUUUAAUUAUCAUUGAUUUGGUUACACUCAAUUGCACAAAGAGUCUGGUGUGAGUGUAUCGUAAAUAUUUUUUAUUGACUUAGAAAUCAAGUGACAAUGUUGAAAAAUAUAUGAUAUGGCUUUAAAUUGAAUUAGUAGCAUAUCUGGUUUCAGGCAGAAUUAACAUAAUGCAGUUCCUGACUGUGACUGAAUAUGGCUCAUAUAGGGGGACGUAUCCUACGUCGAAGUAAUUAUAAACUCAACAUAUAAUGAUUUAAUCCCAGAGUGAGCAAUUCCAGUCGGUCCUUUCUCAUGUAAUGGACUUUAUGACAUUAAUAUAGGGAUUUAGGAUGAUUUCAAACACAGCUCAUAAUAUCACCAGAGACAGCAACAUAGUGUCGGGCCAGAUCCGGCCCUCAUCCGGUGCACACUCCACACGGCCUGGACUUGGGCCGACACUAUCUAUGUUGCUGUCCUCAUCUCAUAUUUCAGCUGAAGUAGAUCUUAAAAUGAAAUGGGGAACACAAUGAACAGUGACUCGUAGUUUAAAAUUUUAAUGUAAAAUUAUAAUAAGAUGGAGUGGAAGUACUCAAACAUCACACCGCAUAGAACAGAGAAGAGCAAAAGAAGAGCAAAUGAA